UACGAAGGGGGCUAGCGUUGCUCGGAAUCACUGGGCGUAAAGCGCACGUAGGCGGAUUGCUAAGUCAGGGGUGAAAUCCUGGAGCUCAACUCCAGAACUGCCUUUGAUACUGGCGAUCUUGAGUCCGGGAGAGGUGAGUGGAACUGCGAGUGUAGAGGUGAAAUUCGUAGAUAUUCGCAAGAACACCAGUGGCGAAGGCGGCUCAUUGGCCCGGUACUGACGCUGAGGUGCGAAAGCGUGGGGAGCAAACAGG
RNAcentral lists this ribosomal RNA (253 nucleotides) under uncultured bacterium. RNAcentral describes it as "partial 16S ribosomal RNA". It matches the Rfam family "Bacterial small subunit ribosomal RNA", at positions 524 to 776 of the family's 1533-position model. The record is from RNAcentral.